RNAcentral lists this ribosomal RNA (1437 nucleotides) under uncultured organism. RNAcentral describes it as "16S ribosomal RNA". It matches the Rfam family "Bacterial small subunit ribosomal RNA". The record is from RNAcentral.
GGGCUUAACACAUGCAAGUCGAGGGGCAGCAUGGUCUUAGCUUGCUAAGGCCGAUGGCGACCGGCGCACGGGUGAGUAACGCGUAUCCAACCUGCCUUACACUCUUGGACAGCCUUCUGAAAGGGAGAUUAAUACAAGAUGUUAUCAUGAGUAAGCAUUUUCGCAUGAUUAAAGGUUUACCGGUGUAAGAUGGGGAUGCGUUCCAUUAGAUAGUAGGCGGGGUAACGGCCCACCUAGUCUUCGAUGGAUAGGGGUUCUGAGAGGAAGGUCCCCCACAUUGGAACUGAGACACGGUCCAAACUCCUACGGGAGGCAGCAGUGAGGAAUAUUGGUCAAUGGACGAGAGUCUGAACCAGCCAAGUAGCGUGAAGGAUGAAGGUUCUAUGGAUUGUAAACUUCUUUUAUACGGGAAUAAACGAAUCCACGCGUGGAUUUUUGCAUGUACCGUAUGAAUAAGGAUCGGCUAACUCCGUGCCAGCAGCCGCGGUAAUACGGAGGAUCCGAGCGUUAUCCGGAUUUAUUGGGUUUAAAGGGAGCGUAGAUGGGUUGUUAAGUCAGUUGUGAAAGUUUGCGGCUCAACCGUAAAAUUGCAAUUGAUACUGGCAGUCUUGAGUACAGUUGAGGUAGGCGGAAUUCGUUGUGUAGCGGUGAAAUGCUUAGAUAUCACGAAGAACUCCGAUUGCGAAGGCAGCUUACUAACCUGUAACUGACAUUGAUGCUCGAAAGUGUGGGUAUCAAACAGGAUUAGAUACCCUGGUAGUCCACACGGUAAACGAUGAAUACUCGCUGUAGGCGAUAUACAGUCUGCGGCCAAGCGAAAGCAUUAAGUAUUCCACCUGGGGAGUACGCCGGCAACGGUGAAACUCAAAGGAAUUGACGGGGGCCCGCACAAGCGGAGGAACAUGUGGUUUAAUUCGAUGAUACGCGAGGAACCUUACCCGGGCUUAAAUUGCAACCGAAUAUGGCGGAAACGCUAUAGCUAGCAAUAGCGGUUGUGAAGGUGCUGCAUGGUUGUCGUCAGCUCGUGCCGUGAGGUGUCGGCUUAAGUGCCAUAACGAGCGCAACCCUUGCCGAUAGUUACUAACAGGUUAUGCUGAGGACUCUGUCGGGACUGCCAUCGUAAGAUGUGAGGAAGGUGGGGAUGACGUCAAAUCAGCACGGCCCUUACGUCCGGGGCUACACACGUGUUACAAUGGGGGGUACAGAGGGCUGCUACCACGCAAGUGGAUGCCAAUCCCAAAAACCUCUCUCAGUUCGGAUUGAAGUCUGCAACCCGACUUCAUGAAGCUGGAUUCGCUAGUAAUCGCGCAUCAGCCACGGCGCGGUGAAUACGUUCCCGGGCCUUGUACACACCGCCCGUCAAGCCAUGGGAGCCGGGGGUACCUGAAGUGCGUAACCGCAAGGAGCGCCCUAGGGUAAAACUGGUGACUGGGGCUA